UCAGAGAGCGAUAAUCGCCGCAAGGCCUC
This 29-nucleotide small RNA is filed under the name Bombyx mori (domestic silkworm). Its description in RNAcentral is "piRNA piR-bmo-1995690". Lineage: Eukaryota; Metazoa; Arthropoda; Insecta; Lepidoptera; Bombycidae. The record is from RNAcentral.